This 253-nucleotide ribosomal RNA is filed under the name uncultured bacterium. RNAcentral describes it as "partial 16S ribosomal RNA". It matches the Rfam family "Bacterial small subunit ribosomal RNA", at positions 524 to 776 of the family's 1533-position model. The record is from RNAcentral.
UACGUAGGGAGCAAGCGUUGUCCGGAAUCAUUGGGCGUAAAGCGCGCGUAGGUGGCUUCGUAAGUCCGUUGUGAAAGUCAAAGGCUCAACCUUUGAAAGCCGAUGGAUACUGCGGAGCUAGAGUACGGAAGAGGCGAGUGGAAUUCCUGGUGUAGCGGUGGAAUGCGCAGAUAUCAGGAGGAACACCACUAGCGAAGGCAGGUCUCUGGGCAUUAACUGACGCUGAGGAGCGAAAGCAUGGGGAGCGAACAGG